Molecule: ribosomal RNA, 482 nt
Filed under: uncultured bacterium
Lineage: Bacteria
Description: partial 16S ribosomal RNA
Rfam family: Bacterial small subunit ribosomal RNA
Source: RNAcentral
AUUGAACGCUGGCGGCAUGCUUUACACAUGCAAGUCGAACGGUAACAGGCCGCAAGGUGCUGACGAGUGGCGAACGGGUGAGUAAUGCAUCGGAACGUGCCCAGCCGUGGGGGAUAACUACUCGAAAGAGUAGCUAAUACCGCAUACGAUCUAUGGAUGAAAGCGGGGGACCGUAAGGCCUCGCGCGAUUGGAGCGGCCGAUGUCAGAUUAGGUAGUUGGUGGGGUAAAGGCUCACCAAGCCAACGAUCUGUAGCUGGUCUGAGAGGACGACCAGCCACACUGGGACUGAGACACGGCCCAGACUCCUACGGGAGGCAGCAGUGGGGAAUUUUGGACAAUGGGCGCAAGCCUGAUCCAGCAAUGCCGCGUGCAGGAAGAAGGCCUUCGGGUUGUAAACUGCUUUUGUACGGAACGAAACGGCUCGGGUUAAUACCCGGGGCUAAUGACGGUACCGUAAGAAUAAGCACCGGCUAACUACGUG